Molecule: ribosomal RNA, 443 nt
Filed under: uncultured bacterium
Lineage: Bacteria
Description: SSU rRNA
Rfam family: Bacterial small subunit ribosomal RNA
Source: RNAcentral
AGAGCGAACGCUGGCGGCAGGCUUAACACAUGCAAGUCGAGCGCCCCGCAAGGGGAGCGGCAGACGGGUGAGUAACACGUGGGAACGUGCCUUUUGGUUCGGAACAACCCAGGGAAACUUGGGCUAAUACCGGAUAAGCCCUUACGGGGAAAGAUUUAUCGCCAAAAGAUCGGCCCGCGUCUGAUUAGCUAGUUGGUGGGGUAAUGGCCCACCAAGGCUACGAUCAGUAGCUGGUCUGAGAGGAUGAUCAGCCACAUUGGGACUGAGACACGGCCCAAACUCCUACGGGAGGCAGCAGUGGGGAAUAUUGGACAAUGGGGGCAACCCUGAUCCAGCCAUGCCGCGUGAGUGAUGAAGGCCUUAGGGUUGUAAAGCUCUUUUAGCAGGGAAGAUAGUGACGGUACCUGCAGAAAACGCCCGGCUAACUUCGCGCCAGCAGCCGC